UGCCUUUCUCCUCCUGUCAUUCUGAGGACGCCCCAGCCAGGUGGAACUAGGAAAGAAAGCCAAGUAAAUCAAAAGGAACAGAAACUGGAAAUAUGCAGGCAUACUUGUGGCUGGUGUUAUUCCACUACUUGUACAUCAUGUGGUUUACCUCAACAUGUGGAAAAAUACAAUGCAAUGGCUCACACCUGUAAUCCCAACAUUUUGGGAGGCCAAGGCAGGAGGAUCACUGGAACCCAGGUUUUGAGACCAACAUGGCAAAAACCUCAUUUCUCCAAAAAAAAUAGAAAUUUGCUGCAUGUGGUGGCACACAUCUGUGUUCCCAACUAUUCAGGAGGCUUAGGUGGGAGGAUCACUUGAGCCUAGAAGGCAGAGGUUGCAGUCAGCUGAGAUCCAGCCACUACACUCCAGCCUGGGUGACAGAUUGAGACCCUGUCUCAAAACAUGCAAUAAACAAAACUUUGUUUCCUCCAGAAAACUAUUGUAAUUGUGACUUAGAGAAGUACCUAUUUGAAACUUAUCUGAACAUGAUCUUAACAUUAUAUUUAUUUGACUUUUUUCGUCUGUCCAGUUUUCUUCAUGAGUUUAUUCAGCCACCUAAAGAAAUUGAAAACUACUGUACUUAGAUAGAAAUCACAUUUCAUAAUUUGCUUAUAAUUCCCCCUAGGCCUUCUGCAUUUUAUGCAUAUUGAACAUUAUACAAUUUAAUGAAUGGAUCAUUGGAAAAUCUCUCAUUAUGUACACAAUUACAGAUGCAAUGCAUUUUCAUAAGUUAUAUAAUUGUUUUAUUUAGUGUUACAGUUAAGGCUGAAGAUUGAGGCCUGUACACACUAAACUAUUCUUUAUAUAAUGGUUUAUUAAAAUGCCCUUUUAAAUUAUAUAACUUUCUGCAUUGAAAUUGGUUUGUCCUUACUUAACAGAUUUAAUCAUUAAUAACCAUAAAGAGUUUCUCUCGCUGAAAUCAUUAAUACAUUUACUUAUAUAGAGAUAGAUAGAUGCUGGAAUAUACUUAUUAGCUUAUGAAUAACACAGUUACAUCACAUUGACUCAUUUCAGAAAUGUCAGUAUAAGUCACAAAAUAGUUUGUGAAAUGACUAUGGUAUGCUUUUGGCUACAACACUGAGUCUACUGUGCCUGAGGAAAUUAGACUCUGAGGGGGGAAAAAGAAAAAUUCACAAAAUCAAAUUUUUAGCACCAGGGUUGCUGCGAGCACUACCCCAGAGGGUGCCAUUUGUGGCAAGGUCUAUGGAGUUAAACAGUGUAGGCUAUGUGGUUUAUAUGGCAGCCCUGCAGAAACCAGAGAGUAUACAGAAAGAUAUCAUAAACUUUUGAACUUUAGUGCCACUCCUCAGUUAAGUGGUCUUCAAACUCUUACGGAUGUUUCGUCAAUCUGAUAUAAUCCGAGAUGUUAGAAUGUACAAUGGUCCUUACCAAUCAUUUUAUUUGGUAGAAAAGAAAAAUAAAAUAUAACAAUGAAAAGUAAAAUUACAUAUUUAAAAUACAUAUACAUAAAAUAGAAUUAAUAAAGCACAAAAUAUAUGACAAGCAUCUAAAUAUUCAGUAUUUUUCAUAGUCUAAAUUUUCUACUGCUAUACUGUAA
This is a long non-coding RNA of Cebus imitator (Panamanian white-faced capuchin), 1597 nucleotides long. RefSeq lists it as uncharacterized. Lineage: Eukaryota; Metazoa; Chordata; Mammalia; Primates; Cebidae. The record is from RefSeq and is a predicted model, not a curated record. The transcript is spliced from 3 exons.